ACUUCUACUCAAGCACGGGGAUUCGUUUAGUGGGAAGAAGAAGGAAAAAUUGAGUACUACAAAAAAAUAAUCUAGGAGCAGGAGCUUGGAUGGUACUCUUUCUUAGGGCUUGAAAGCUUCAGUGUUCUAGUGGCUUUUCAUCCUUGUUCUUUCGGUCGGUGAGUACGGUAAAAGUCCUGGGGCUAGGAAGUAACCGCCUCUUAGAAAAGGUUUCUUACUUUGAUAUUGAUUAUAAAUCCGAAUCUUAUAUAUAAGUAAAAGUCAUGGGCUCACCUUAUUAUAGAAGUUCUUACUUGGCGAAGAAGACUGAUCUAUUAGAAUAUCAAGGCGAAGGGAUGCGGGCAAGAAGCUAAUAGGAUAGGCUCAAUAGCUGCUCAGAAAGGUUGACGUCAGGGCAUCAUCCCCGCGCUUGAAAGCUUCAGUGUUCUAGGAAACCCUGCCUGGCGAAUAGAACGAGUGAAGUCAACGUCUACUAAAAGCAUAGGAAGAGUCAACUCUUAUGUUGCAAGGUUCCCCACAACCAGUAAUAAGCACUAAACUUAACUCUAUAAGGAUAGACGGGGUGAUUGCUUGCUCACUUACUAAGACAAUCGAUAGGUCUUUAGGAUAUGAGAACAUCCUUCCCUUUCCCCGUCUAAGCACAGCUGAGAGAAUCUGACUGGGAGGCUGCGGGGGCGGUACCAUCUUCUCUCCACCAGAACCAGAGGCUUAAAUUUAUAGUGAACGGGAAUCAGAUGACCGUGAGGGGUGAAGACUCAGUCUUUCUG
Molecule: long non-coding RNA, 767 nt
Filed under: Linum usitatissimum (flax)
Lineage: Eukaryota; Viridiplantae; Streptophyta; Magnoliopsida; Malpighiales; Linaceae
Description: long non-coding RNA (LUSI_LNC006740)
Source: RNAcentral